CGCAAGCCGUCAUACGAAGAGACGGAGCGAGUCACGCACGGAAGCCACAGACUCAUGCAGAUCGCAGACACACACACAUGGAGCCGCCGCCGGCCGUGCACUCAGAAUCACCACUCACGGAGGCACGCAACGGCCAGACAUUGCGCACGGCGAAGGCAGCGUCUUGGCAAUCAGGGCCCAGUGCCGAUUACUGCAACAGUGCAACCGAUUGCACUGUUCAUCAACAAUCAACAGGUCAUCAUCCGAUGAGGCAUAGCCCCUAGGUAAUUUAUUCCUUGCAUCGUUUUUUUAAUCUAAAUUAAUUAUUUCAGACUUCUAUUACUCUAGGUACUUAUAGUCAUAUUUUUCUUUUUAGGUGCUAGAAUCUUAUGAUGUUGCCUAAGAAACAUUUGUGGGGGCUCAGAAAAGAAAACGGAAAAAACUAGCAGACCAAUUUGAGAUCAACUAUGUCACAAGAAAGGUUAAAUGGAUUGGCUAUGUGCACCAUUAAGAGGGAUAUCUUGGACACCAUUGAUCUUAAUACCGUCCUUGAUGAUUUUGCAUUAAGAAAUGCCUGAAGAAGUAUCUUUUUGUGAGAAGCAAUGGAUAUUAUAGAGUUCUAUUCUUCCUUAAGGUAAUCAUAUUAGUUUUAGUCUAUUUUUGUUCCUUGAUAUCAUGAAACAUUAAAUGAAAAAUAUAUUAUUGGAUUUGUUUUUACUUUGCAAGAAAAAUUAGCACUUAUAUAUAUUAUAAGAUUUAUAUAUAGUCUAGAGGGACCGUCACGACGAACUCGCUAGAGGGCCCUCAAAAUCCUAGGACCGGCACUGGCAGCACAGUUGUAUCAUCUUGUGAUUUUUGUAACUUCUAAACCAUAAUAGCUAUGAGGGUGAUUCUUGCGGUCAGAGAAAGAUCUUGAAGUCCACUUUCAUCCAAAAGUUUCUCAUGAUUUUUGUUCAUCCGAGAACAGAGAUAUAAUCUGAUAAAGAGAGGAUACUCCGGAAAGGCAGGAUAAGAUAACAAGAGAAAAACCAAAACCCAACUAUUUAUUUCACUAAUCCUUAUACCUUAGACCUAUAACUAAAUGAAAUUAUGGAGGAAACCCACAAGAUCAUUACACUCAUUACAAAGAUCCAAAUCAAGCAUAAGCAUAAUGACAAACCAACUAAGCAUUAAAGGUUCACACUUCACUCAACUUGCGAUACUUUCGUUUUCUUCAUAGGGAGGGUAAAGAUCCUAAAACUUAUAUUUCAAAGACGCAAGAAGAUGGUAACAAAAGGUUUUAAUAGCAUACCAAAUCGAGGAGUAAAGGUAAGAACGAGUACUUUUAAAAUAAGCAACAAGGUAGAGACAAAUAGCAAAGAUAGAGAUAUAGUAUGGAUGAUAAUACCAAGAUUUAUAGAUAUGCACCAUAUGUGAGUUUUAGAAGUCAAAUCCCACAUAUAGCUACAAAUAAAGGGUAAUAUCAAAGGACAAUGCAUAAAUAUAUAACGUACUUAGUAUAAAAGAGAUAACCUUAAGUAUCAAACAGCGGAUAGACAAUCUCCAAACAUUAGGUAUUAACUUCACUCUACAGGAUCCAACUGACUGGUGGAUCACAAGCCCAAAACUUCUCCUGAGGUGUGGGGGAAAUUGCAAGAGUGAGCACAUAUUGUACUCAACAAGUAUAACCAGGGGUUCAUGAGGCUCAAUAAGCUGACACUGGUUUGACUGCAUUUAGCUUUUAUAUGUAGAUAGCAUAUUUAUAUUUAGAUAGCAAUUAUCAAGGUAGCAUAAUUAAUUCCCGUAACCACAUGAUCAAUGUAUACAAGAAUUAAGAAUAACACAUAUAAACAACAAAAUAAACCAUCAUUUAUCAUUAAUCAUAUUCAUCAGUGUCCAUCUAUUCCGUCAAUUUUCCGGGAUGCCCGUAUCAGUGGGCACGGCUAGUAUACCAGAUUUAACACUCUGCAUAGGUUGUACAUCUUUACCCAUGAGUCAUGAUUUACCCUUUCGCCCGAGGUAGCUAAUCUCUUAACCCCCUUCCAAGGGAGGUCGGCAGGGAUCACUAUGAAGCCUUUCAAAAGUUCAUCUAACAUGUUAGGGGCCGCAAGGUUUCCUUUGCGCGCAGAUAUAGAGCCCCCCUUCCGAUGGCACAAUGACUCGCAGCCUAUACACAUACAGAUAGAGGCCACACUAUACCCAAAACGGUUCAGCCCCUCCGCCCUUUCGGGUAACCUCUAACAAACUAGAAAAGUUCUUCAUACUGAGCUGAAGCCAUAGCCAUAUAGCCCUCAUGGUUGUACGAGUUGUCCCAGCUUUUGCCAAGGGAUAAGUCCUUAUGGAGGGUCAAGAUUAAUCCAGCAAAAGCCAGAGUUCUUUCCACCCUUUUUAUUCAAGUUGCUAGAAAGCUUAUUUUAUUGUUUAUUGUUUAUCCAAAAAUUCAUGUUACAAGAUCAUGUAUUAUAUUCAAGCACUAGCAAGAACUACCUAAAUGUAUAUCCAAAUAGGUAACAUGGAAUUCAGGAUAACAAUCAUCUAUGAUUUUGCUAAGGUCAUCAAGGUGGACACAUGCAUAUGAUAUAUAUUGUAUUAAUUGUGUAUAGGUAACAAGGAUAGUCCCAAGUUAUACUUGCCUUGAUCAAAGCUCUCCUGAGCCUGCUGCUGGUCGUCAAAAGCUUGACCUUGAUCACCAACGUAUCGCUCACCGUCUAUACUCGAUCAUCAAUCAACAACACGAAAUCCAAUGUAGACAAUCAUACACGAAGCAAACAAGCUAUAAUUAGAACAAUACAACAAACAGUGGUAAAAGAAAUAUAAAAGUUUAUCAAAAUAUUCUACGCAGCGCUACGAUCACAUAAACGUAAAGUUCACGAAAAUCGGAAUUAAAAAGUAGAAGAUAUGAAUUUUCAAAGAUUUUAUAUAGAAAAGUAAUUAAUUAAAUAGGUUCACGAAAUUAAAAAGUUUCAAACUGGUAGAACAGUGUGACUAUCUUGUAGAGCUCGUGAAAACGAACCCAACGCAAUUUGAAUGGGUCAAAACGGAAUUAAAAUAAAUAUUUUAUAGCCAAAACAAGUUCAGUGGCAUUUUAGUAAAUACUGAAAACGUAUUUUGAAACAAGCCGGCAGACUUUACGUCUUCCAACUCAGAAAGCGUAUUUCAUCCCGUACGUUUUGGACCGCGGGUUUCAUAUCUAAAAACGUCAGGGGCUCUUUAAUAAAAUCUACCCCGAAGGGGUAUGUUCUAAUCUGGCGCGUUGGGUUUAGAUCGAACGGCUCUGGAUCAAUCCCAAGAGGGAAGAGGGAUGCCGGCCGGCUACAGAGCCUCCGGCGGUGGUGCCAUGGCCGGAGGGCCUUGCUCCUCGCCGGAGUUGGUCGGGAAAGUGUUCCGGUGCACCGUUUAACAAAUCAAGAGCAUGGGGAGCAAGAGGAGGGAAUGGCGAACUCACCCCGAGGCAAAAUCGAAGGCAAGGACAACUCGAAGAUGUCCUACGUCAUGAUUUGGCGGAUCCUGGGUCCCUGCGAGGUUCGGCGGUGAAGUGAGAGCAGUAGAGACCGAGAGAGAGUACAGAGAGGAUCUCGGCAGCUUCUUUACCUCGGCACGUGGUUGCGAGCGAGAAUUGAGCACCCCGGAUCGAAAACCAUGGCGGUGGCUUCUCAGUUUAACGGCGAGAUCUGAACUGCGGUGGCUAAAGCGGCUCAGGCCUCUUGCGGAUGGGGAAAAGGGUCACGAGAGAAAGCUCGGAGCUUUAAAGGGAUUCGGUGGCGCGUGGGGAAAGAAAUCCCGAAGAAAUUGGCGUGAUUGACGCUGGGGCUCGUGUCCGGCUCCGUUUCGAUCGGAGGAAGAAGAAAGGAAGGCCACUGACCUGUGGACCCGAUACGUCAGCGUCUCCCGGCGUGGGGUUUGUGCGUCAGCGAAAGAGAGGAAAAGGAGAGGGGAGGGAAGCAGGCCGCGCGCGUGGGCUAGCCAGGCCUCGCGCGAGGGGAGCUGGGGUUGGUGUGGGCCGAGCCCUGGGGAGGCUGGGAGGGAGUUUGGCUGGGCCAAGCUGGGAGUUUGUUUUCUCUUUCUCUUUUUCUUUUAUUCCUUUUCUUUUAUUCCAAAUCCAUUUUAAAAAAUCACUUUGAAAUACUUUUAAACUUUAGUCAAACCACUCAAGUCAACAAAAAUUAAUGCAAAAGCAUGAAUGCACAACAAGUGGCUAAGUCCUAUGAUAAAUUUUAUUUUAAUGAAAAAUAUUAUUUUUCUAUGUUUCAUGAGCACAAAAAGUCAUAAAUAAAUCGUUUUCACCUAUUUUUAAAAUGAGCAAAAUUUUGGGUGUUACAAUAUGGUGGGCAUGCUGCAAUUAUUCGGACUGAACAAUAUUUGGUUUGGUUCCGAAGCUGCCAAUUUGGACUACUGAGUUAUUUCAAUUCACCUAGAAUGAAAUGUGUUUUUCCUUGUUGGGGAAGGCCUAGGGCUAUCCAUGGAGUUACACGAUCGAGAGCUUGGCCCUUGCAAGGGCUUCCUAGCGAGGGGCUCCAACAAGGACUAGGGGGAAGCGCGCUUGUGUGCUUCUCGAUACCUGGGUAAAAAUACCAGAGUCAGCGACAGGAGUUGGCAUCUCUACCUUAUUGUUAGCUUCCGCGUUUAUAUAUUACCUUGGCUAUGUGCUUUACCUUUUCUAGCUUAAGUUGAUAGGAUUGGAAUCUAGGUUGCAUAACUCUUUUGCGGUAGAGACAGCAACACACUAGCGAAACCUUAGUUGCACAUUUAUAUAGUAUAUUUAAUUGCAUAGGUUUUGCUAAGGUUAGAAAAGAGGCUAGAAAUAGAGUUCUAAGUUGCCUAAUUCAUCCCCUCUUAGGUGUCAGAGUCCUUUCAUCAUCUAAGUCCUUUCAACAUCUAUUGAAACAGGAAGAAGUCAAUCGAGCUUGAAGAAAAAUCCCAUCGUAACCGUAGUUGCUGCGUGUAUAAGAGUCGAAAUGGGGAGUGCUUUCCUUCCAUAGCAUCUAGUAACCAUACUUCAAGAUGAAAUUAUGCGGAUUUUGCAACUGCUCCAUCAAGCAGGUAGUUCAAGGAUUGGGCUAUAUAUGAGGAUUAUUUGCAAAAAUGCUCAACAAGAAGGAGCAUGAACUAAGAUACUAGAUACCAUAAGUGUAUUGUAUCAAAUUAAUCUGCAACCCAUCACAUUACCACAAACCUUGACCACAACUAUAUAUUAUAGCCCAAGAAUCAAAUAAAAUGCCCCAACUUUUCUUGAAAACACUAGCGAAGAACAUUAUUAGGGCCCAAUGCAACCAAUAUGUAUCGCCCCCUCCUAUCUACAAAAUCCCAAGCCAUAAACAUCUCAACCCAGCCAAUCUGUAUCAAAUCCCCUAUCUUUUUUUGUUCACCCUAGUUACCAACAUUAUGAUCCGCAUCAAAUCCGGCCAACACUGAUUUGUACAUGAUUAGAUUAUAGCAUGGAAAGGAGAGAAGUUGAAGCAAUGAGUGAAAAUGGGAGAGAUAGGACAGGGGGGCGUGCGGAGGGGGUAGGGGAGUGAAUUGGGAGUGGAAAGCGAGAAAACCACUGGCACCUUGCAUGUAUAACAGGAGGGUAAGUAAUCCUAGACAGACCAGGCGGCAUCAAUGUAACACCCUAAAUUUUGCUCUUAUGGAAAUAGAGGAAAAAUAAUUAAUUAUACAUUUUUGUGCUCAUAAAACAUAAGGAAAAAUAAUAUUUUUCAUUAUAUUAAAUUUAUUAUAGGGUUUAGCAACAUGACUGAGCAUCCAUGCUGCUGCAUUUCAUUUUGUGUGAGUGGUUUUGGCUAAAACUCAAAAAUAUAUAUUCAAACAUAUUUUAAAAUAAACUUGAAAUUGGCUUUGAAUAAAAAAAGAGAUUUAUCUUUCCCCUCACUCUCGGGCUCGGCCCAAAAUUCUUCCCCCCCCCACCCCGCGGCCUGCUUUCUCCCCCCCCCCCUUCUCUUCUUUCUGCCUUGGCGGCCCAGGAGCUCGCCCAGCCCACUGCCAAACCAGCCCAGCAGCUGAGCGCCAGCGCCCUCCCCUCAUCCUUUUCGCUGACAAGCAGGUCCUGCGCUCCUGAGUCGCAGACAGGUGGGGUCCAUCUGUCGGGACCUUCGUCCAACUCGUGGCCGCACCGGACUCCUCCAGGAGAUCGAGUCGGCAACGCGUGAUCCCCGUGCUCGGCGUGUUCCGCACGUUGGGAGCUCUUUAUAUAGCAGUCGCGACCCUGAUGCCUCCCUAUCUCUAACCCUAGAGCAAGCCGUCGCCCUAGUCUAGUCCCAAAACACCGCCGAGAUCUGCGCCAAGCUCGAAACGCCGCGACACCCCGUCUCUGCUCCCGUGAGCCCUUUGCCGACCUUCUCCUUGCUCUUGCGAAGUCGCCAAACUUGUUCUUUCUCCUUUCGUGUUCUCUGUGCUUUGCUUGACCUCGCCGAACCUGUGCAGGAGCCCGCCGUCCGCCUUCCUCCAUCGCGAGCGCGCCCGAGCCUCUUUUCGACACCGGUGUUGCCCUAGGUAAGUCCGCAUCAAGCUCCUCUACGCUCCUGUCCAAUUGGUUCACGUUCUACCGCCCUAAAUCGCUCAAACCGCGAGCGCCGACCAACUCCGGCCAUGGCACCGCCGGGAUUGGCUCCAACUCCGGCCGGCCAGCUCCCUUCCCCCACCCCCAAUCUAAUCUCGGUCAUCCAAGUGAGAUCCAACGGCCCGAAAUGAAGGAUACCCCUUCGGCUACGUCUUUUACAAAAGAGCCCCCUGCUUUUUAAAGAUCAAGCCCGUAGUCCUUUGCGGAUUUCCAGAAUACGUUUUCCAACUCCGAAAGCGUAUUCCCGUCCGCUCAGAUUCAAAAUACGCUUUCUCAAAAUUACAGAUUUGCCAUUAAUCCUAUUUUACUCUUAAAAACUCCGUUUUAACUCUGUUUUGAUCCGUUCAAAUUGCGUUAGGUUCGUUUUUUUGUAAUCUAUAGAUUAGUAGCACUGUUAUACAUGUUUCCAACUUUUUAAAUCUGAGCUUAGAUUAAUCUAUUAUUUUAUUAAAGGAAAUCUUAGGAAAAUCAUAACUUCUUCGUUUUAGCUCCGAUUUUCGUGAUCUUUACGUCUGUGUGAUCGUAGUGCGAUGUAGAUUCAUUUUAUAAACUUUUCAUCUUUAUUUGCUACUGUUGGUGUAUUAUUCUAAUUAUAGGUUUGUUUGCUUUGUAUGAUUGCCUCUAGAUGAUUGUUGAUGACGUGAUGACUGAGUUUAG
RNAcentral lists this long non-coding RNA (7171 nucleotides) under Sorghum bicolor (sorghum). RNAcentral's name for it is "long non-coding RNA (SBIC_LNC013722)". The record is from RNAcentral. Lineage: Eukaryota; Viridiplantae; Streptophyta; Magnoliopsida; Poales; Poaceae.